UGGACUGUCGCCAAGUGGUAAGGCACCGGGUUUUGGCUCCGGCACGCGCAGGUUCGAAUCCUGCCAGUCCAA
RNAcentral lists this transfer RNA (72 nucleotides) under Verrucomicrobiota bacterium. Its description in RNAcentral is "Verrucomicrobia bacterium tRNA-Gln". It matches the Rfam family "tRNA". From Rfam's summary of the family: Transfer RNA (tRNA) molecules are approximately 80 nucleotides in length. Their secondary structure includes four short double-helical elements and three loops (D, anti-codon, and T loops). Lineage: Bacteria; Pseudomonadati; Verrucomicrobiota. RNAcentral also lists the same sequence under 2 other names. The record is from RNAcentral.